GACGAACGCUGGCGGCGUGCUUAACACAUGCAAGUCGAACGGAAAGGCCUGCUUUCCCUUGUGGAUUGCGGGUACUCGAGUGGCGAACGGGUGAGUAACACGUGAGUGAUCUGCCCCCAACUUGGGUAUAAGCCUGGGAAACUGGGUCUAAUUCCCGAUAGGACUGCAGGGUGGUGCCUGUGGUGGAAAACGAUUUUCUAGUGGUUGGGGAUGAGCUCGCGGCCUAUCAGCUUGUUGGUGGGGUAAUGGCCUACCAAGGCGGCGACGGGUAGCCGGCCUGAGAGGGUGGACGGCCACAUUGGGACUGGGAUACGGCCCAGACUCCUGCGGGAGGCAGCAGUGGGGAAUAUUGCACAAUGGGCGGGAGCCUGAUGCAGCGACGCCGCGUGGGGGAUGACGGCCUUCGGGUUGUAAACUCCUUUCGACCGAGAGGAAGCCACCUGGUUGGAAGGGUGGUGACGGUAGUGGUAGAAGAAGCACCGGCUAACUACGUG
Molecule: ribosomal RNA, 494 nt
Filed under: uncultured bacterium
Lineage: Bacteria
Description: partial 16S ribosomal RNA
Rfam family: Bacterial small subunit ribosomal RNA
Source: RNAcentral